UACAAUGAAGAGUUUGAUCCUGGCUCAGGAUGAACGCUAGCGGCAGGCCUAAUACAUGCAAGUCGAACGGUAACAUUGGUGCUUGCACCAGAUGACGAGUGGCGCACGGGUGCGUAACGCGUAUGCAACCUACCUUUUACUAGAGUAUAGCCCAGAGAAAUUUGGAUUAAUCCUCUAUAACAUCUUUUAAUUUCAUGAUUUUUUGAUUAAAGUUUCGACGGUAAAAGAUGAGCAUGCGUCCUAUUAGUUUGUAGGUGAGGUAAUGGCUCACCUAGACUACGAUAGGUAGGGGCCCUGAGAGGGGGAUCCCCCACACUGGUACUGAGACACGGACCAGACUCCUACGGGAGGCAGCAGUGAGGAAUAUUGGACAAUGGACGAAAGUCUGAUCCAGCUAUGCCGCGUGCAGGAUGACAGCCCUACGGGUUGUAAACUGCUUUUAUACAGGAAGAAAAACUCCGACGUGUCGGA
RNAcentral lists this ribosomal RNA (471 nucleotides) under Cryomorphaceae bacterium. Its description in RNAcentral is "bacterial SSU rRNA". It matches the Rfam family "Bacterial small subunit ribosomal RNA", at positions 1 to 466 of the family's 1533-position model. The record is from RNAcentral. Lineage: Bacteria; Pseudomonadati; Bacteroidota; Flavobacteriia; Flavobacteriales; Cryomorphaceae.